AUGGCUUACCAUUACACAAUGCAAAGUCAAAAAUGUCUUCCAUGUUUAUUAAAGUUGAUCUGUCUGCAUUUCCUUCAGAAGUUAAAGAAUGGUUUUGCUCUAUGUGAAGAAAAUUACUGCCUCUGUUGGUUGCAGUUGGAGGGGUCCUGGCCGAGGAAAGGAAGACUAGAAAUUUUGAGAGCAUUAAAAUGAUGUUUCAGAAUGACAAAAGGAAGUGAUCACUGGUGUACAUCAGGCUGACUUAACCACAGGCUUCACUGGCAGCGUGCAAAAGAGGUUUUGUAAAUGUAACGUUAAGAAUAAAUGGCGGUUAUUCUCCA
RNAcentral lists this long non-coding RNA (320 nucleotides) under Struthio camelus australis. Its description in RNAcentral is "lncRNA (ENSSCUG00000007236.1)". Lineage: Eukaryota; Metazoa; Chordata; Aves; Struthioniformes; Struthionidae. The record is from RNAcentral.